Molecule: non-coding RNA, 93 nt
Organism: Tinamus guttatus (white-throated tinamou)
Lineage: Eukaryota; Metazoa; Chordata; Aves; Tinamiformes; Tinamidae
Source: RefSeq, a predicted model, not a curated record
ACUGAGCUUCUGGGUUUUGUGCAACUACACAGACUGCUCUAUAUCACAGUCGUUGACAUUUGCUGUUGCCGUUGCAUAAUACAGAUAUUUUGU